UAUUCUGUCUGAUGAGGAGAAUAAGAGCCAGUUUGUGGUAUUGACAGAAGAAUGAAAGUAAAGGAAGCUUACUGCAGGAAAGAAAUCCCUCAGAGUCCUGAAGAUACAGCUUUCAGAACUUAGGUGAAGCAAGAGGACUCAAGGUGUGCAAGAAUGGACAGUACAGAAUGCUCUGCUACACUGCUCAGAUUCCCCCUUCAGGAAGGAAGGACAAAUUCACUCAACUUCUGGGAGCAUUGAUGGUUGAGCUCUCAGCCAUCAGACCUUUUUGGAAGUUGCCCUCUUCUGAAAAGAGGCACAUUGCCCAAGAUCUUUCCUCCUCCAGAGCGCAGGCUGCACCUGAAGUCUGAUUGAUGUGGGGUAUGAUGGUCUGGUCUCCUUUCCCCAUCUAAAGGACUGUUCUAACCUCAGGGCUCUCCUUGAGUUUCCUUAGUUAGUUCUUAUUACUAUGUUGCAGUCCAACUUCUUCUUUGGCCUAAUUCUACUUUCCUCCCAUUCCCCAAUUGUUGAUCCUGACAGCAAUUUCCCCCCAAAUUUCUGUAAACUAAGCAUGAUCUCAGAGUCACCUGACCUGCAACAUUAUUACAUACACUAUAGUCCGUGCACUUAAAGAUUUAGUGAAAGUAUGCUGCUGAAGCUUGCCAGAACUUCCCUUCUUCCACUGAAAAUUUGUCUGUUCAUAGAUAUACACCAUUCGUUCUCUUCUCUACUUUGGCCAAUUAUCUUAUGUUUGGGAAGGUGUUCUGCUAGAAGACAAAAUAGCAAUUCUUAGAACUAGAAAGAAAAACACAUCAAAGUCUGUCCUUUCUUAUGUCUUUUCUAUCUACAACAAAUACCCUGUGAUAAAAAGGAUGAUAGGAAAUAUAAGUAGUUUGAGUCCACCAAAUAUUUGGCUUGAAGUAUUUGGGUAUGAAAUACAAACUCACUUGACCUGGGCUCAAAUUUGCCAGCACUUCUUUUCUUUCUUCUCUUUUCAGAAACAGACUUUAUUUAUAUCAAUGUUAACAUCAAUCACAUAACCAUCAGGAAGGCUGUAACUUUGAUUUUUUUUUGUCCAAUAGUUGGGCCAAGUUUACAUUUCUCUUAUUUUAUUUAUUUAUUAUUAUUAUUUUUUUGAGAUGGAGUCUUACUCUGUCACCCAGGCUGGAGUGCAAUGGCGUCAUCUCAGCUCACUGCAACCUCCGCCUCCUGGGUUCAAACAAUUCUCCUGCCUCAGCCUCCUGAGAAGCAGGGAUUACAAGUGUGUGCCACCACGCCCGGCUAAUAUUUGUACUUUCAGUAGAGAACGGGGGUUUCACCAUGUUGCUCAGGUGGUC
RNAcentral lists this long non-coding RNA (1316 nucleotides) under Homo sapiens (human). RNAcentral describes it as "long intergenic non-protein coding RNA 1013". Lineage: Eukaryota; Metazoa; Chordata; Mammalia; Primates; Hominidae. The record is from RNAcentral.